This 442-nucleotide ribosomal RNA is filed under the name uncultured bacterium. Its description in RNAcentral is "partial 16S ribosomal RNA". It matches the Rfam family "Bacterial small subunit ribosomal RNA", at positions 338 to 795 of the family's 1533-position model. The record is from RNAcentral.
CCUACGGGAGGCAGCAGUGAGGAAUAUUGGUCAAUGGGCGGGAGCCUGAUGGAGCAACGCCGCGUGCAGGAUGAAGGCCUUCGGGUUGUAAACUGCUUUUAUAAGCGAGAAAUAUGAUGGUAACUUAUGAAUAAGGAUCGGCUAACUACGUGCCAGCAGCCGCGGUCAUACGUAGGAUCCGAGCAUUAUCCGGAGUGACUGGGUGUAAAGAGUUGCGUAGGUGGAAUAAUAAGUAGCUAGUUAAAUCUGGUGGCUCAACCAUUCAUACUAUUAGCUAAACUGUUAAGCUCGAGACCGUUAGAGGUAACUGGAAUUUCUAGUGUAGGAGUGAACUCCGUAGAUAUUAGAAGGAACACCAAUAGCGUAGGCAGGUUGCUGGGACGGUUCUGACACUAAGGCACGAAAGCGUAGGGAGCAAACGGGAUUAGAUACCCCUGUAGUC